This 1061-nucleotide non-coding RNA is filed under the name Monodelphis domestica (gray short-tailed opossum). RNAcentral describes it as "Bacterial large subunit ribosomal RNA". It matches the Rfam family "Bacterial large subunit ribosomal RNA", at positions 1443 to 2925 of the family's 2925-position model. Lineage: Eukaryota; Metazoa; Chordata; Mammalia; Didelphimorphia; Didelphidae. The record is from Rfam by way of RNAcentral.
UUGUUGGGUUUUGGCACUUCAGUGAUCUUUAUAAAUGACUUGGAAAAAGCUUUUUAACUGUACAAGAUUUAUUGCCAAGAUUGGUUGUAUUACCACAAUCUCGCUGCAUAAGCAUAAGUUAGUCCACGGAUAACCCACUAACAGCUAACAUAUACAAUAUCUUUAAUUAACAACCAGUGAAUUACCCCAAUAAUUGUUAACCCAACACAGGCAUGCACUACUAAAGGACAGAUUAAAAAGAAUAAAAGGAACUCGGCAAACCAACACCCCGCCUGUUUACCAAAAACAUCACCUCUAGCAUUUCAAGUAUUAGAGGCACUGCCUGCCCAGUGAAUUAAUUUUAACGGCCGCGGUAUCCUGACCGUGCAAAGGUAGCAUAAUCACUUGUCUCCUAAAUAGAGACUUGUAUGAAUGGCAAAACGAGGGUUUAACUGUCUCUUUUUCUCAAUCAAUGAAAUUGACCUACCCGUGCAGAGGCGGGUAUAACUUUAUAAGACGAGAAGACUCUGUGGAGCUUAAAAUUACAACUUAAAUUAAUUUAUACUAUACUCUAAGGGAUUAAUCUUACAAAACUUUUUAAGCUGAAUUUUUGGUUGGGGUGACCUCGGAGCACAAGCAACCCUCCGAAUGACAUAACUAAGACUAACACAUCUAAGUGCAACCUAAGCCAGUAAUUGACCCAAAACUUGAUCAACGGAACAAGUUACCCCAGGGAUAACAGCGCAAUCCUAUUUAAGAGCCCAUAUCGACAAUUAGGGUUUACGACCUCGAUGUUGGAUCAGGACACCCCAAUGGUGCAGCCGCUAUUAAAGGUUCGUUUGUUCAACGAUUAAAGUCCUACGUGAUCUGAGUUCAGACCGGAGAAAUCCAGGUCGGUUUCUAUCUAUAUAAUAAUUUCUCCUAGUACGAAAGGACAAGAGAAUUAAGGCCAACAUUACAAACAAGCCUUACAACUAACUAAUGAUCUUAUCUCAAUUAGUUAAUGCAAGAUUUUAUUACUCUAGAGAAGAGUUAUUAAGGUGGCAGAGCAGGUAAUUGCAUAAAACUUAAGCCUUUACUAU